CGAUUCAAGUUGUGAUAGCAAACACCUUAGAGUCUGUACCUCUUCAUUAGAAAAUAUAUCAGUGGUUGUAGUAUCUUCAGACAGAUUCACAACCUCAUAUACAUUAGCUUGUGGUCUAGUAGGGCCUAUCCUUUUUCCUCCAUGCCCUUUAGUGGGGCGUCCAUGCAGUUUCUAAUAGUGUUCCUUAGUAUGCUGAUUUUUUCCACAAUAGUCACGAUGUAGUUGAUCCUUAUCUAAUGAACCAUGAGACUGUUCAUG
RNAcentral lists this unclassified non-coding RNA (258 nucleotides) under Hevea brasiliensis (rubber tree). The record is from RNAcentral. Lineage: Eukaryota; Viridiplantae; Streptophyta; Magnoliopsida; Malpighiales; Euphorbiaceae.